AGAUUGAACGCUGGCGGAAUGCUUUACACAUGCAAGUCGAGCGGCAGCGCGGGGCAACCUGGCGGCGAGCGGCGAACGGGUGAGUAAUGCAUCGGAACAUGUCCAUGUCGUGGGGGAUAGCCCGGCGAAAGCCGGAUUAAUACCGCAUAAGCCCGAGAGGGGAAAGUGGGGGACCGCAAGGCCUCACGCGAUUGGGUUGGCCGAUGUCCGAUUAGCUAGUUGGUGAGGUAACGGCUCACCAAGGCUUCGAUC
Molecule: ribosomal RNA, 252 nt
Filed under: uncultured soil bacterium
Lineage: Bacteria
Description: partial 16S ribosomal RNA
Rfam family: Bacterial small subunit ribosomal RNA
Source: RNAcentral